UGCUUAAGGUUAUGCAGCUGGUAAGAGGUGCAGCUGGAUUCAAAACCAGGUAAUCUGACUCAACUUUCUCUUAACAGCACUACACCAGCCUUCUAUGCAUUCAGUAGAAUUGAAAAUAUCAGGUUACAUCAAGGCUUACAAUGUUGUCCCAGUGGGAAGAAGCAUCUGCCCAAGGAAGGAGAGGAAGAUAUAGAGUCAACAGGACCAGCAAGAGACAAAAAUUAUCAUAAGACCCUAAACUCUGGGUUAGGAGUUUUAUUUUUUAUUUUUAGUUUUUGGCUGUGUGUGUGGCAUGCGGAAGUUCCUGGGCCAGGGAUCAAACCCACCCCACAGCAGUGGCAAUGCUUGAUCCUUAACUGCUUGGCCACCAGGGAACUCCCUGGGUUAGGAGUUUAAUAGUUCACUAAAUCUAACUGAGCCCAGACAGGGAAAUGACUUACACUGUCAGAGACAGGAACAAGAACUCCCAGUUCUCUCAAGUCCCAAACCAGGGCUCGGAACAGUAUUCAGAGGCAAUAAGAUACUUCAGGAUUCUUUGAGAAGGGACAAAACAGGCAGAAAGAUAAGUAUGAAGAGGAUGUCUGCUCCUGCUGGUAAGCAUAGGAACCACUGGAAUGUCAAGUUGUGAAAGGAAGUGCCUAUAGAAUUGAACAGCUGACAGUUGAGAGGAACAAUAGAGGAAACGAAAGACAUUGAAGCCAAUAUUAAGGAAACUGGGAAGGGAGACAAGAACAGGAAGUUAAUGUUCAAUUCUUUCUGUUUUUUAUUAAAGAAAGUAGAGUUGAUUUACAAUAUUGUGCCAAUUUCUGCUGUACAGCAAACAAAGUGACUCAGCCAUACACAUAUAAUUUUGAAGUAUUAACAUACUUACUUUUAAUUGGAUCCCCAAGUGGAGAUGCCCUAUAGCCAUUAGGAAGUUGGGAAAUGGAAAGGGAGAAAAGAUCUGGAAGAUGCAGAACUGAAAGUCCACAAGACACAAGAAUUGUCAUCAGGCGGUCCAGUUAAUCUACACACACACACACACACACACACACACACACACACACACACAGAGCACAGCACACUGAUCUUCAACUUUUUGUAGGAAGACAUCUUUUAAGGAUGGGAAGAUACCACCUUUGCUCUAAGUAAGGUUCCCACUCACACUCACAAAAGCAAAUCUGGUCUGGAAAAUUCUUCAUAACCCUCCCACUAGAAUAGCAUGACAAAGUAGAAGGCAGAGCUUUGGAGACAAGUGGUGCGUUUUCUUUUUCCAUUUUCAACAUUCUCAUCACCAUUUUUCAAGGUCAUCCUUUUGGGUUAAUGAGUGUUGCAGAUAUUUAUUUAAGCAAUGUUCUGGACGGGCAUUCACAGAACCUUUACCUCUAAAUCUACUGCCACUAAAUUAGAUCUUGUUCAAAUAAAGAAGGUUAAUUGCAGUAUACAUUUGCUCCUCUGUUUUAAUUACUACAAAGCUUGUGAAGACAAACAACUGUGUGUGGCAUUUUUUGCAAAAGAUAUACCUGAAUUAUAAAAAGCUUAGAUCAGGCCUGCAUCCGUGUAUACACGCCUUCCUCUCCCAACUAUUCCCAUGUUAGUUUGGUGACAAAAGUUGGCCUUUGCAGAAGAGGAAAGUGGAUUGGUCACCAAAGAAGGAGUUCUGUUUUUACUAUGGGGAGAAUGUAGUCUUAAUUAGGUAAACAAAGAGGUUUUUCAUUACAUUGUAAACACAUUUCACAAAAAGACUCAUUUAAGUUUCUUUUUAAAGAAACUGGAAAAUAUUAAG
RNAcentral lists this long non-coding RNA (1765 nucleotides) under Sus scrofa (pig). RNAcentral's name for it is "lncRNA (ENSSSCG00005005163.1)". The record is from RNAcentral. Lineage: Eukaryota; Metazoa; Chordata; Mammalia; Artiodactyla; Suidae.